AACGUAGGAGGCGAGCGUUAUCCGGAUUUACUGGGUGUAAAGCGCGUGCAGGCGGUUUGAUAAGUUGGAUGUGAAAGCUCCCGGCUCAACUGGGAGAGGUCGUUCAAAACUAUCAGACUUGAGGUCGGUAGAGGGAAGUGGAAUUCCGUGUGUAGUGGUGAAAUGCGUAGAUAUACGGAGGAACACCAGUGGCGAAAGCGGCUUCCUGGCCCGAUCCUGACGCUCAGACGCGAAAGCUAGGGUAGCAAACGGG
This 253-nucleotide ribosomal RNA is filed under the name uncultured bacterium. RNAcentral's name for it is "partial 16S ribosomal RNA". It matches the Rfam family "Bacterial small subunit ribosomal RNA", at positions 524 to 776 of the family's 1533-position model. The record is from RNAcentral.